Molecule: ribosomal RNA, 406 nt
Filed under: uncultured bacterium
Lineage: Bacteria
Description: partial 16S ribosomal RNA
Rfam family: Bacterial small subunit ribosomal RNA
Source: RNAcentral
AUUGAACGCUGGCGGCAGGCCUAACACAUGCAAGUCGAACGAGUGGCGGACGGGUGAGUAAUGUCUGGGCAACUGCCUGAUGGAGGGGGAUAACUACUGGAAACGGUAGCUAAUACCGCAUACCAUCAGAGGUGCCCAGAUGGGAUUAGCUAGUGGGUGGGGGAAAGGCUCACCAAGGCGACGAUCACUAGCUGGUCUGAGAGGAUGACCAGCCACACUGGAACUGAGACACGGUCCAGACUCCUACGGGAGGCAGCAGUGGGGAAUAUUGGACAAUGGGCGCAAGCCUGAUGCAGCCAUGCCGCGUGUAUGAAGAAGGCCUUCGGGUUGUAAAGUACUUUCGGCGGGGAGGCGUUACCCGCAGAAGAAGCACCGGCUAACUCCGUGCCAGCAGCCGCGGUAAUUC